This 418-nucleotide unclassified non-coding RNA is filed under the name soil metagenome. Its description in RNAcentral is "partial contains 5.8S ribosomal RNA, internal transcribed spacer 2, and large subunit ribosomal RNA". The stretch from base 1 to 120 matches the Rfam family "5.8S ribosomal RNA", at positions 35 to 154 of the family's 154-position model. The record is from RNAcentral.
GAUGAAGAACGCAGCGAAAUGCGAUAAGUAAUGUGAAUUGCAGAAUUCAGUGAAUCAUCGAAUCUUUGAACGCAUCUUGCGCUCCUUGGUAUUCCUUGGAGCAUGCCUGUUUGAGUAUCAUGAGCAAAUCUCAAAGUCAAUUCCUUUUGUUAAUUCAAUUGGUUUUGCUUUGGACUUGGAGGUCUUGCAGAUUUCACAGUCUGCUCCUCUUAAAUGCAUUAGCUGGAUCUCAGUAAUUAUGCUUGGUUCCACUCGGCGUGAUAAGUAUCACUCGCUGAGGACACUGUUAAAAAGGUGGCCAGGAAAAUACUGAUUGAACCGCUUCUAACGGUCUAUUAAGUUAGACAAUUGACCCUUAAGUUUGAUCUCAAAUCAGGUAGGACUACCCGCUGAACUUAAGCAUAUCAAUAAGCGAGGA